RNAcentral lists this ribosomal RNA (147 nucleotides) under Triticum aestivum (bread wheat). RNAcentral describes it as "partial small subunit ribosomal RNA". Lineage: Eukaryota; Viridiplantae; Streptophyta; Magnoliopsida; Poales; Poaceae. The record is from RNAcentral.
AUGCCGGUCAUCGACAAGAAGGCCAGCUACUCCUUCGUCUACCCAUUCGGAUGGCAGGAGGUGUAUGUGCAAGGGCAGGACAAGAUGUACAAGGACGUGUCGACCCCGCCGUCCGCGAGUGGACCUCAAGGGCAAGAGCUUCCAUAA